UACAGAGGGUGCAAGCGUUAUUCGGAAUCACUGGGCGUAAAGCGCAUGUAGGUGGACAGGAAAGUUAGUUGUGAAAUCCCGGGGCUCAACUUCGGAAUGGCAAUUAAAACUACCUGUCUUGAGAUUGGGAGAGGGAGAUAGAAUUCCAGGAGUAGAGGUGAAAUUCGUAGAUAUCUGGAGGAAUACCGGAGGCGAAGGCGGUUUCCUGGCCCAAGACUGACACUGAGAUGCGAGAGCGUGGGGAG
RNAcentral lists this ribosomal RNA (245 nucleotides) under uncultured bacterium. Its description in RNAcentral is "partial 16S ribosomal RNA". It matches the Rfam family "Bacterial small subunit ribosomal RNA", at positions 524 to 768 of the family's 1533-position model. The record is from RNAcentral.